UCCGAGUUGACCCCGGCAGUCUCCUAUGAGUCCCCGCCAUUACGCGCUGGCAACAUAGAACAAGGGUUGCGCUCGUUGCGGGACUUAACCCAACAUCUCACGACACGAGCUGACGACAACCAUGCACCACCUGUGCGCGGCCCAAAAGGACCUGACAUCUCUGCCAGUUUUCCGCGCAUGUCAAGCCUUGGUAAGGUUCUUCGCGUUGCGUCGAAUUAAGCCACAUGCUCCGCCGCUUGUGCGGGCCCCCGUCAAUUCCUUUGAGUUUUAGCCUUGCGGCCGUACUCCCCAGGCGGGGCGCUUAAUGCGUUAGCUGCGGCACGGAGAACCGGGAAGGUUCCCCACACCUAGCGCCCAACGUUUACGGCGUGGACUAC
Molecule: unclassified non-coding RNA, 377 nt
Filed under: uncultured Sporichthyaceae bacterium
Lineage: Bacteria; Bacillati; Actinomycetota; Actinomycetes; Sporichthyales; Sporichthyaceae
Description: contains 16S-23S intergenic spacer region
Source: RNAcentral